RNAcentral lists this microRNA precursor (130 nucleotides) under Vitis vinifera (wine grape). RNAcentral's name for it is "MIR845_2 microRNA precursor family". It matches the Rfam family "MIR845_2 microRNA precursor family". Lineage: Eukaryota; Viridiplantae; Streptophyta; Magnoliopsida; Vitales; Vitaceae. The record is from Rfam by way of RNAcentral.
ACAAUGCACAUUCAUUGUCCUUAGGGCAAUGGGAUAAACAAAUACCAACAAAACCAAGUUAGCACACCCUAGAAUGGUUCUAACAUGAUUACUAACCUAUGGAUUUGAUACCAAUCGAUGGGAAAAAUAU